This 592-nucleotide unclassified non-coding RNA is filed under the name Hevea brasiliensis (rubber tree). Lineage: Eukaryota; Viridiplantae; Streptophyta; Magnoliopsida; Malpighiales; Euphorbiaceae. The record is from RNAcentral.
UUUCAGAGUACAAAAUGUGGACAGCUAUCAUAAUAUGAUUACAGAAUGCCCAUUGAGUAAUUCCCCAUUGAAAAAACAAUAUCAAAAGGAUAUUGUCAAUGGUUCAUUGCAUUGACAUUAGCAGAAUUUUGUAGAAAAGAUAAAAGAUAUGUCAGAUGAGGCACUUUAUCCUCUUCAAAGAAGUAGUUAGAGAGGAAGGAUGGAGGGGGAGAGAAUGGCAUAAGGAAUAAUCUUAUUAACUAUUACCAAAUAAACAAAGCAUAGUAUAUAUACAUAUAUAGAGCAUUUGGUUAGCUUCUAAAAAAAAAUUUGCUUUCUACUAAUUUGAAAGCAGAAAGAAGAAAAGCACUUUUUGUUUACAUGCAAUAAAAUUAACUGCUUCUUAGAGGAAGCAAAAAAGCAUUAGAGGCAAAAAUCACAAGAUAGUGGUGUGUUCCAGAAAAGUAGCACCAAGCAAAAAUCGUAUUAAUUGCUACUAGAGCCAUGAAAAUCAUCACCAAUUCAAACAUUAAUUGGGUAAAAAGUUGGAUUAUUUUUCCUUUGAUAAAAAAGUAAAAGAAACAUUUUUAAAAAACAUGUUUUUUUAUUAUUG